AGCAGUGUGGCUUAGUGGAAAGAGCACGGGCUUGUGAGUCAGAGGUCGUGGGUUCUAAUCCCAUCUCUACCA
Molecule: non-coding RNA, 72 nt
Organism: Ornithorhynchus anatinus (platypus)
Lineage: Eukaryota; Metazoa; Chordata; Mammalia; Monotremata; Ornithorhynchidae
Source: Rfam